Molecule: ribosomal RNA, 377 nt
Filed under: uncultured eukaryote
Lineage: Eukaryota
Description: partial 18S ribosomal RNA
Rfam family: Eukaryotic small subunit ribosomal RNA
Source: RNAcentral
CAAUAGCGUAUAUUUAAGUUGCUGCAGUUAAAAAGCUCGUAGUUGGAUUUUGGGUGGGAAUGGCCGGUCCGCCGUUUCGGUGUGCACUUGCUACGCCCACCUUGCUGCCGGGGACGUGCUCUUGAGUUCACGCUCGGGACACGGAGUCGGCGAGGUUACUUUGAGUAAAUUAGAGUGUUCAAAGCAGGCCUACGCUCUGAAUACAUUAGCAUGGAAUAACACGAUAGGACUCUGGCCUAUCUUGUUGGUCUGUAGGACCGGAGUAAUGAUUAAGAGGGACAGUCGGGGGCAUUCGUAUUUCAUUGUCAGAGGUGAAAUUCUUGGAUUUAUGAAAGACGAACUACUGCGAAAGCAUUUGCCAAGGAUGUUUUCAUUAA